Molecule: ribosomal RNA, 289 nt
Filed under: uncultured bacterium
Lineage: Bacteria
Description: partial 16S ribosomal RNA
Rfam family: Bacterial small subunit ribosomal RNA
Source: RNAcentral
GGUAAUACGGAGGGAUGCGAGCGUUAUCCGGAUUCAUUGGGUUUAAAGGGGUUAGGCGUAGGCGGAAGUAUUAAGUUACAGGGGUGGAAAGUUUAGUUGGCUCAACCAUAAAAUUAGCCUUUGUAUACUGGUAUUCUUGAGUACAUUUGAGGUAGGCGGAAUGUGUUGUGUAGCGGUGAAAUGCUUAGAUAUAACACAGAACACCGAUUGCGAAGGCAGCUUACUAAACUAGUCACUGACGCUGAUGCACGAAAGCGUGGGGAUCGAACAGGAUUAGAUACCCUGGUAG